GUCUUUUACUUACUGAGUUCUUAGCUUUUCUGCUAUUCUUACAAAUUCUGCUUUCUUAGCAUGUUCUGCUUUCAUCUUCCAGUUCUGACGCUGUUGACCAGAACCUCCAGUACUGAAAUAGCUGUCAUUCUGCUGCUGCUGCUGCUGCU
Oxyura jamaicensis (ruddy duck) is the source of this 149-nucleotide long non-coding RNA. RefSeq lists it as uncharacterized. NCBI's taxonomy places the organism in Eukaryota, Metazoa, Chordata, Aves, Anseriformes, Anatidae. The record is from RefSeq and is a predicted model, not a curated record. The transcript has 3 exons.